UUAAGUUAUUAAGGGCGCACGGUGGAUGCCUUGGCACUAGAAGCCGAUGAAGGACGUUACUAACGACGAUAUGCUUUGGGGAGCUGUAAGUAAGCUUUGAUCCAGAGAUUUCCGAAUGGGGAAACCCAGCAUGAGUUUGGGGUUGUAGGACACUCUAUACGGAGUUACAAAGGACGACAUUAGACGAAUCAUCUGGAAAGAUGAAUCAAAGAAGGUAAUAAUCCUGUAGUCGAAAAUGUUGUCUCUCUUGAGUGGAUCCUGAGUACGACGGAGCACGUGAAAUUCCGUCGGAAUCUGGGAGGACCAUCUCCUAAGGCUAAAUACUCUCUAGUGACCGAUAGUGAACCAGUACCGUGAGGGAAAGGUGAAAAGCACCCCGGAAGGGGAGUGAAAUAGAACCUGAAACCGUGUGCUUACAAGUAGUCAGAGCCCGUUAAUGGGUGAUGGCGUGCCUUUUGUAGAAUGAACCGGCGAGUUACGAUUUGAUGCAAGGUUAAGCAGUAAAUGUGGAGCCGUAGCGAAAGCGAGUCUGAAUAGGGCGUUUAGUAUUUGGUCGUAGACCCGAAACCAGGUGAUCUACCCUUGGUCAGGUUGAAGUUCAGGUAACACUGAAUGGAGGACCGAACCGACUUACGUUGAAAAGUGAGCGGAUGAACUGAGGGUAGCGGAGAAAUUCCAAUCGAACCUGGAGAUAGCUGGUUCUCUCCGAAAUAGCUUUAGGGCUAGCCUCAAGUGAUGAUUAUUGGAGGUAGAGCACUGUUUGGACGAGGGGCCCCUCUCGGGUUACCGAAUUCAGACAAACUCCGAAUGCCAAUUAAUUUAACUUGGGAGUCAGAACAUGGGUGAUAAGGUCCGUGUUCGAAAGGGAAACAGCCCAGACCACCAGCUAAGGUCCCAAAAUAUAUGUUAAGUGGAAAAGGAUGUGGCGUUGCCCAGACAACUAGGAUGUUGGCUUAGAAGCAGCCAUCAUUUAAAGAGUGCGUAAUAGCUCACUAGUCGAGUGACACUGCGCCGAAAAUGUACCGGGGCUAAACAUAUUACCGAAGCUGUGGAUUGUCCUUUGGACAAUGGUAGGAGAGCGUUCUAAGGGCGUUGAAGCAUGAUCGUAAGGACAUGUGGAGCGCUUAGAAGUGAGAAUGCCGGUGUGAGUAGCGAAAGACGGGUGAGAAUCCCGUCCACCGAUUGACUAAGGUUUCCAGAGGAAGGCUCGUCCGCUCUGGGUUAGUCGGGUCCUAAGCUGAGGCCGACAGGCGUAGGCGAUGGAUAACAGGUUGAUAUUCCUGUACCACCUAUAAUCGUUUUAAUCGAUGGGGGGACGCAGUAGGAUAGGCGAAGCGUGCGAUUGGAUUGCACGUCUAAGCAGUAAGGCUGRGUAUUAGGCAAAUCCGGUACUCGUUAAGGCUGAGCUGUGAUGGGGAGAAGACAUUGUGUCUUCGAGUCGUUGAUUUCACACUGCCGAGAAAAGCCUCUAGAUAGAAAAUAGGUGCCCGUACCGCAAACCGACACAGGUAGUCAAGAUGAGAAUUCUAAGGUGAGCGAGCGAACUCUCGUUAAGGAACUCGGCAAAAUGACCCCGUAACUUCGGGAGAAGGGGUGCUCUUUAGGGUUAACGCCCAGAAGAGCCGCAGUGAAUAGGCCCAAGCGACUGUUUAUCAAAAACACAGGUCUCUGCUAAACCGUAAGGUGAUGUAUAGGGGCUGACGCCUGCCCGGUGCUGGAAGGUUAAGAGGAGUGGUUAGCUUCUGCGAAGCUACGAAUCGAAGCCCCAGUAAACGGCGGCCGUAACUAUAACGGUCCUAAGGUAGCGAAAUUCCUUGUCGGGUAAGUUCCGACCCGCACGAAAGGCGUAACGAUUUGGGCACUGUCUCAACGAGAGACUCGGUGAAAUCAUAGUACCUGUGAAGAUGCAGGUUACCCGCGACAGGACGGAAAGACCCCGUGGAGCUUUACUGUAGCCUGAUAUUGAAAUUCGGCACAGCUUGUACAGGAUAGGUAGGAGCCUUUGAAACGUGAGCGCUAGCUUACGUGGAGGCGCUGGUGGGAUACUACCCUAGCUGUGUUGGCUUUCUAACCCGCACCACUUAUCGUGGUGGGAGACAGUGUCAGGCGGGCAGUUUGACUGGGGCGGUCGCCUCCUAAAAGGUAACGGAGGCGCUCAAAGGUUCCCUCAGAAUGGUUGGAAAUCAUUCAUAGAGUGUAAAGGCAUAAGGGAGCUUGACUGCGAGACCUACAAGUCGAGCAGGGUCGAAAGACGGACUUAGUGAUCCGGUGGUUCCGCAUGGAAGGGCCAUCGCUCAACGGAUAAAAGCUACCCCGGGGAUAACAGGCUUAUCUCCCCCAAGAGUUCACAUCGACGGGGAGGUUUGGCACCUCGAUGUCGGCUCAUCGCAUCCUGGGGCUGUAGUCGGUCCCAAGGGUUGGGCUGUUCGCCCAUUAAAGCGGUACGCGAGCUGGGUUCAGAACGUCGUGAGACAGUUCGGUCCCUAUCCGUCGUGGGCGUAGGAAAUUUGAGAGGAGCUGUCCUUAGUACGAGAGGACCGGGAUGGACAUACCUCUGGUGUACCAGUUGUCGUGCCAACGGCAUAGCUGGGUAGCUAUGUGUGGACGGGAUAAGUGCUGAAAGCAUCUAAGCAUGAAGCCCCCCUCAAGAUGAGAUUUCCCAACUUCGGUUAUAAGAUCCCUCAAAGAUGAUGAGGUUAAUAGGUUCGAGGUGGAAGCAUGGUGACAUGUGGAGCUGACGAAUACUAAUCGAUCGAAGACUUAAUCAA
Molecule: ribosomal RNA, 2768 nt
Filed under: Staphylococcus aureus
Lineage: Bacteria; Bacillati; Bacillota; Bacilli; Caryophanales; Staphylococcaceae
Description: bacterial LSU rRNA
Source: RNAcentral